AGUCGAACGAAAUCUUUAGGGAUUUAGUGGCGGACGGGUGAGUAACGCGUGAGAAUCUGGCUUUAGGUCUGGGACAACCACUGGAAACGGUGGCUAAUACCGGAUGUGCCGAAAGGUGAAAGGUUAACUGCCUGAAGAUGAGCUCGCGUCUGAUUAGCUAGUUGGAAGUGUAAUGGACUCCCAAGGCGACGAUCAGUAGCUGGUCUGAGAGGACGAUCAGCCACACUGGGACUGAGACACGGCCCAGACUCCUACGGGAGGCAGCAGUGGGGAAUUUUCCGCAAUGGGCGAAAGCCUGACGGAGCAAUACCGCGUGAGGGAGGAAGGCUCUUGGGUCGUAAACCUCUUUUCUCAGGGAAGAACACAAUGACGGUACCUGAGGAAUAAGCAUCGGCUAACUCCGUGCCAGCAGCCGCGGUAAUACGGAGGAUGCAAGCGUUAUCCGGAAUGAUUGGGCGUAAAGCGUCCGCAGGUGGCAAUGUAAGUCUGCUGUUAAAGAGUCUAGCUCAACUAGAUNAGAGCAGUGGAAACUACAUAGCUAGAGUACGUUCGGGGCAGAGGGAAUUCCUGGUGUAGCGGUGAAAUGCGUAGAGAUCAGGAAGAACACCAGUGGCGAAGGCGCUCUGCUAGGCCGUAACUGACACUGAGGGACGAAAGCUAGGGGAGCGAAUGGGAUUAGAUACCCCAGUAGUCCUAGCCGUAAACGAUGGAUACUAGGCGUGGCUUGUAUCGACCCGAGCCGUGCCGUAGCUAACGCGUUAAGUAUCCCGCCUGGGGAGUACGCCGGCAACGGUGAAACUCAAAGGAAUUGACGGGGGCCC
RNAcentral lists this ribosomal RNA (821 nucleotides) under uncultured Nostoc sp. RNAcentral's name for it is "bacterial SSU rRNA". It matches the Rfam family "Bacterial small subunit ribosomal RNA", at positions 60 to 922 of the family's 1533-position model. The record is from RNAcentral. Lineage: Bacteria; Bacillati; Cyanobacteriota; Cyanophyceae; Nostocales; Nostocaceae.